UACGGAGGGGACUAGCGUUGUUCGGAAUUACUGGGCGUAAAGCGCACGUAGGCGGAUUUGUAAGUCAGGGGUGAAAUUCCGGGGCUCAACCUCGGAACUGCCUUUGAUACUGCAAAUCUCGAGUCCGGAAGAGGUGAGUGGAAUUCCUAGUGUAGAGGUGAAAUUCGUAGAUAUUAGGAAGAACACCAGUGGCGAAGGCGGCUCACUGGUCCGGUACUGACGCUGAGGUGCGAAAGCGUGGGGAGCAAACAGG
Molecule: ribosomal RNA, 253 nt
Filed under: uncultured bacterium
Lineage: Bacteria
Description: partial 16S ribosomal RNA
Rfam family: Bacterial small subunit ribosomal RNA
Source: RNAcentral